AGUGGCAGUGAAACAUAGGAGCAGUUAAAGGCAAAACAAUCUUAUAAUAACGUCCCAAAAUGUGGUUGAAUUUCAGUCACUAAUCCACAAUUGUGUAAUUUGUAAUCCCCUUUCAUCAAUUAUCAAAGAGUUAUUUAUAAACUCUCUUCUUCAAUUGUUCAUUGAUAUUAGUUUGCUAAAUUUUUUAUAUGUGGGUCAAACUUUGCAAAUAAAAGAAUUUGGUUAGAAAGUCGCAUUUCUUGGUUUAGAAAAUCAGAAUGUGUUGGCUCUGAUAUACAGAACGCCUUGUAUUAUUCUUCCAUUGCUCUUCUUUUUAUUGUAA
Molecule: long non-coding RNA, 322 nt
Filed under: Amborella trichopoda
Lineage: Eukaryota; Viridiplantae; Streptophyta; Magnoliopsida; Amborellales; Amborellaceae
Description: long non-coding RNA (ATRI_LNC000752)
Source: RNAcentral